GAAUUUUGGACAAUGGGCGAAAGCCUGAUCCAGCAAUGCCGCGUGCAGGAUGAGGGCCUUCGGGUUGUAAACUGCUUUUGUACGGAACGAAAAGCUUUGGGUUAAUACCCUGGCGUCAUGCCGGUCCCGUACGAAUAAGCCACGGCCAACUACGUGCCCGACGCCGCGGUAAUACGUAGGGGGCAAGCGGUAAUCGGAAUUACUGGGCGUAAAGCGUGCGCAGGCGGUUUUGUAAGACAGAGGUGAAAUCCCCGGGCUCAACCUGGGAACUGCCUUUGUGACUGCAAGGCUAGAGUACGGCAGAGGGGGGUGGAAUUCCGCGUGUAGCAGUGAAAUGCGUAGAUAUGCGGAGGAACACCGAUGGCGAAGGCAACCCCCUGGGCCUGUACUGACGCUCAUGCACGAAAGCGUGGGGAGCAAAC
This 422-nucleotide ribosomal RNA is filed under the name uncultured bacterium. RNAcentral describes it as "partial 16S ribosomal RNA". It matches the Rfam family "Bacterial small subunit ribosomal RNA", at positions 359 to 773 of the family's 1533-position model. The record is from RNAcentral.